This 473-nucleotide ribosomal RNA is filed under the name uncultured bacterium. RNAcentral describes it as "bacterial SSU rRNA". It matches the Rfam family "Bacterial small subunit ribosomal RNA", at positions 355 to 825 of the family's 1533-position model. The record is from RNAcentral.
CAGGGAAUUUUGCGCAAUGGGGGAAACCCUGACCGAGCGACGCCGCGUGGAGGAUGAAGGCCCUUGGGUUGUAAACUCCUUUUGUUCGGGAAGAAGUGCGAUCAGGUGAAUAAUCUGGUCGUUUGACGGUACCGGACGAAUAAGCUCCGGCUAACUCCGUGCCAGCAGCCGCGGUAACACGGGGGGAGCAAGCGUUGUUCGGAAUCACUGGGCGUAAAGGGCGUGUAGGCGGUUUGGUAAGUGGGAUGUGAAAUGCUCCGGCUCACCCGGAGAGGUGCAUCCCAUACUGCUAGACUUGAGUACGGGAGAGGAUGGGGGAAUUCCUGGUGUAGCGGUGAAAUGCGUAGAUAUCAGGAGGAACACCGGUGGCGAAGGCGCCCAUCUGGCCCGAUACUGACGCUGAGGCGCGAAAGCUAGGGGAGCAAACAGGAUUAGAUACCCCAGUAGUCCCUGAGCGGGCUGGCAAGGCGCAU